This 465-nucleotide ribosomal RNA is filed under the name Vreelandella stevensii. RNAcentral describes it as "partial 16S ribosomal RNA". It matches the Rfam family "Bacterial small subunit ribosomal RNA", at positions 338 to 795 of the family's 1533-position model. The record is from RNAcentral. Lineage: Bacteria; Pseudomonadati; Pseudomonadota; Gammaproteobacteria; Oceanospirillales; Halomonadaceae.
CCUACGGGUGGCAGCAGUGGGGAAUAUUGGACAAUGGGGGGAACCCUGAUCCAGCCAGGCCGCGUGUGUGAAGAAGGCCCUCGGGUUGUAAAGCACUUUCAGUGAGGAAGAACGCCUGGUGGUUCAUACCCAUCAGGAAAGACAUCACUCACAGAAGAAGCACCGGCUAACUCCGUGCCAGCAGCCGCGGUAAUACGGAGGGUGCGAGCGUUAAUCGGAAUUACUGGGCGUAAAGCGCGCGUAGGUGGCUUGAUAAGCCGGUUGUGAAAGCCCCGGGCUCAACCUGGGAACGGCAUCCGGAACUGUCAAGCUAGAGUGCAGGAGAGGAAGGUAGAAUUCCCGGUGUAGCGGUGAAAUGCGUAGAGAUCGGGAGGAAUACCAGUGGCGAAGGCGGCCUUCUGGACUGACACUGACACUGAGGUGCGAAAGCGUGGGUAGCAAACAGGAUUAGAUACCCUUGUAGUC